RNAcentral lists this unclassified non-coding RNA (249 nucleotides) under Didymella sp. RNAcentral's name for it is "partial contains 5.8S ribosomal RNA, internal transcribed spacer 2, and large subunit ribosomal RNA". The record is from RNAcentral. Lineage: Eukaryota; Fungi; Ascomycota; Dothideomycetes; Pleosporales; Didymellaceae.
CGCACAUUGCGCCCCUUGGUAUUCCAUGGGGCAUGCCUGUUCGAGCGUCAUUUGUACCUUCAAGCCUAGCUUGGUGUUGGGUGUUUGUCUUGCUACAGCAGAAGACUCGCCUUAAACUAAUUGGCAGCCAACGAUCAAGGUGGGAGCGCAGCACAUUUUGCAUUCCUGGUCUUGGUAGGUGGCAUCCAGCAAGUCUACAAAUCUCUCUCGUUUGACCUCGGAUCAGGUAGGGAUACCCGCUGAACUUAA